GACGAACGCUGGCGGCGUGCUUAACACAUGCAAGUCGAACGGAAAGGCCCUGCUUGCAGGGUACUCGAGUGGCGAACGGGUGAGUAACACGUGGGUGAUCUGCCCUGCACUUCGGGAUAAGCCUGGGAAACUGGGUCUAAUACCGGAUAGGAGCCAUUUUUAGUGUGAUGGUUGGAAAGUUUUUUCGGUGUAGGAUGAGCUCGCGGCCUAUCAGCUUGUUGGUGGGGUAAUGGCCUACCAAGGCGGCGACGGGUAGCCGGCCUGAGAGGGUGGACGGCCAAAUUGGGACUGAGAUACGGCCCAGACUCCUACGGGGGGCAGCAGUGGGGAAUAUUGCACAAUGGGCGCAAGCCUGAUGCAGCGACGCCGGGUGGGGGAUGACGGCCUUCGGGUUGUAAACCCCUUUCGCUAGGGACGAAGCUUUUUGUGACGGUACCUAGAUAAGAAGCACCGGCUAACUACGU
Molecule: ribosomal RNA, 464 nt
Filed under: uncultured bacterium
Lineage: Bacteria
Description: partial 16S ribosomal RNA
Rfam family: Bacterial small subunit ribosomal RNA
Source: RNAcentral